Molecule: transfer RNA, 72 nt
Filed under: Coelastrum sp. F187
Lineage: Eukaryota; Viridiplantae; Chlorophyta; Chlorophyceae; Sphaeropleales; Scenedesmaceae
Description: tRNA-Glu
Source: RNAcentral
UAUCUCCAGUGAGAUUUGAACUCACCUUUUAGCUGUGAAAGAGCUAUGUCCUAACCCCUAGACGAUGAAGAC